AAUCCAUAGGUUAAUGAGGCGAACCGGGGGAACUGAAACAUCUAAGUACCCCGAGGAAAAGAAAUCAACCGAGAUUCCCCCAGUAGCGGCGAGCGAACGGGGAGGAGCCCAGAGCCUGAAUCAGCAUGUGUGUUAGUGGAAGCGUCUGGAAAGGCGCGCGAUACAGGGUGACAGCCCCGUACACAAAAGCGCAUGUGCUGUGAGCUCGAUGAGUAGGGCGGGACACGUGGUAUCCUGUCUGAAUAUGGGGGGACCAUCCUCCAAGGCUAAAUACUCCUGACUGACCGAUAGUGAACCAGUACCGUGAGGGAAAGGCGAAAAGAACCCCGGCGAGGGGAGUGAAAAAGAACCUGAAACCGUGUACGUACAAGCAGUGGGAGCACAGGUUUACCUGUGUGACUGCGUACCUUUUGUAUAAUGGGUCAGCGACUUAUAUUCUGUAGCAAGGUUAACCGAAUAGGGGAGCCGGAGGGAAACCGAGUCUUAAUUGGGCGUUAAGUUGCAGGGUAUAGACCCGAAACCCGGUGAUCUAGCCAUGGGCAGGUUGAAGGUUGGGUAACACUAACUGGAGGACCGAACCGACUAAUGUUGAAAAAUUAGCGGAUGACCUGUGGCUGGGGGUGAAAGGCCAAUCAAACCGGGAGAUAGCUGGUUCUCCCCGAAAGCUAUUUAGGUAGCGCCUCGUGAAUUCAUCUCCGGGGGUAGAGCACUGUUUCGGCUAGGGGGCCAUCCCGGCUUACCAACCCGAUGCAAACUGCGAAUACCGGAGAAUGUUAUCACGGGAGACACACGGCGGGUGCUAACGUCCGUCGUGAAGAGGGAAACAACCCAGACCGCCAGCUAAGGUCCCAAAGUCAUGGUUAAGUGGGAAACGAUGUGGGAAGGCCCAGACAGCCAGGAUGUUGGCUUAGAAGCAGCCAUCAUUUAAAGAAAGCGUAAUAGCUCACUGGUCGAGUCGGCCUGCGCGGAAGAUGUAACGGGGCUAAACCAUGCACCGAAGCUGCGGCAGCGAACGUAUCACUUAAAGCGAUUCAGCGGGUUACGAUUGA
This 1049-nucleotide ribosomal RNA is filed under the name Salmonella enterica subsp. enterica serovar Newport. RNAcentral's name for it is "partial 23S ribosomal RNA". It matches the Rfam family "Bacterial large subunit ribosomal RNA", at positions 161 to 1224 of the family's 2925-position model. The record is from RNAcentral. Lineage: Bacteria; Pseudomonadati; Pseudomonadota; Gammaproteobacteria; Enterobacterales; Enterobacteriaceae.